Molecule: transfer RNA, 87 nt
Filed under: Candidatus Iainarchaeum sp.
Lineage: Archaea; Nanobdellati; Candidatus Iainarchaeota; Candidatus Iainarchaeia; Candidatus Iainarchaeales; Candidatus Iainarchaeaceae
Description: tRNA-Ser
Rfam family: tRNA
About the family: Transfer RNA (tRNA) molecules are approximately 80 nucleotides in length. Their secondary structure includes four short double-helical elements and three loops (D, anti-codon, and T loops).
Source: RNAcentral
GCAGGGGUGGCAGAGUGGUCAAAUGCGCCCGGCUUGAGACCGGGUUCCCGAAAGGGAGCGCGAGUUCGAAUCUCGUCCCCUGCGCCA